ACGCUCGACACCUACGUAGGCAGCAGUGGGGAAUAUUGCACAAUGGGGGAAACCCUGAUGCAGCGACGCCGCGUGAAGGAAGAAGUAUUUCGGUAUGUAAACUUCUAUCAGCAGGGAAGAAGAUGACGGUACCUGACUAAGAAGCCCCGGCUAACUACGUGCCUGCAGCCGCGGUAAUCUGAGCGGGCUGGCAAGGC
This 197-nucleotide ribosomal RNA is filed under the name uncultured bacterium. Its description in RNAcentral is "partial 16S ribosomal RNA". It matches the Rfam family "Bacterial small subunit ribosomal RNA", at positions 326 to 539 of the family's 1533-position model. The record is from RNAcentral.